GCUUUGGUGUAGCCAUGGAUCUAACGUAGGAGUUGUACUGUCAUUAAAAGCAUAGAAUACAGGUCACACCGUAAUUCCUCACCUAUCGCCCCACAAGAGAAGUUUGUCUCCAACACAACACGUUCAAAAGAAAAUUUUCAGUCGCAGAAAAUAGAAACUUCUUUGGAAGCCUGGAGGCUAAUAACACGCAGAAUUAAAUCGAAGAAGAAAACACCAACACAAUACAAAAAUCGUUUUACUGCUUGGGAUCGUAAAGUAUUACCGGGGGGAGUCUUUCUCAAAAAAUUGAUGUAAGCAUGAAAUUCGAGUGCAUCGUAAUAAAUGAUUUUAAUACUAA
Xenia sp. Carnegie-2017 is the source of this 337-nucleotide long non-coding RNA. RefSeq lists it as uncharacterized. The record is from RefSeq and is a predicted model, not a curated record. NCBI's taxonomy places the organism in Eukaryota, Metazoa, Cnidaria, Anthozoa, Malacalcyonacea, Xeniidae. The transcript is spliced from 2 exons.